GUCCUCUUGGUUGUAUUUGAGGUCUGACCUGCCCAGUGAAUUAUUAUUUUAACGGCCGCAGUAUUUUGACUGUGCAAAGGUAGCAUAAUCAUUAGUCUUUUAAUAGGAGGCUGGUAUGAAGGGUUUGACGAGGUGUUAGCUGUCUCAUUUAAUUUGAAAUUAAAAUUUAACUUUUCAGUUAAAAGGCUGAAAUAAUAUUGGAAGACGAGAAGACCCUAUAGAGCUUUAUAUUUAAAAUUUUAAUUAAUUUUUGUUUAUUAUUAUUUAUUAUUUUUUUAAUUAUUUUGUUGGGGUGACAAAAAUAUAUAAUGAACUUUUUUAUUUAAAUAACAUUGAUUUAUGAAAAUUAGAUCCAGUCUUAUUGAUUGUUAGAUUAAGUUACC
RNAcentral lists this ribosomal RNA (383 nucleotides) under Merogomphus pavici. Its description in RNAcentral is "partial 16S ribosomal RNA". The record is from RNAcentral. Lineage: Eukaryota; Metazoa; Arthropoda; Insecta; Odonata; Gomphidae.